CACCUCUCUUGGUUGCACCUGGAGACUUUUCAGUACUCUAUCAGUCUUGACUAUGGGAGGGAGAGUCAAGCAGAGGCCUAUCCAUUCCAUUCCUAGCCUGGGCAGUGGCUAGCAAGUGGAAGGCAAUCUGCUACAAGU
Molecule: small nucleolar RNA, 138 nt
Organism: Ornithorhynchus anatinus (platypus)
Lineage: Eukaryota; Metazoa; Chordata; Mammalia; Monotremata; Ornithorhynchidae
Source: RefSeq, a predicted model, not a curated record